This 525-nucleotide ribosomal RNA is filed under the name Rectisura slavai. Its description in RNAcentral is "partial 16S ribosomal RNA". It matches the Rfam family "Bacterial large subunit ribosomal RNA", at positions 1796 to 2614 of the family's 2925-position model. Lineage: Eukaryota; Metazoa; Arthropoda; Malacostraca; Isopoda; Munnopsidae. The record is from RNAcentral.
UCGCCUGUUUUAUCAAAAACAUCUCGUCUUCAUAAAAUUAGACGUAGGCUCUGCUCAGUGAUUUAAAUAGCCGCAGUAUCUUGACUGUGCUAAGGUAGCAUAGUAACUUGUCUUAUAAUUGAGGGCUGGCAUGAAGGAGUUGAUGUUUUCUAUACUUUCUUAUUUUAAAAAAUUGAAUUUAAUCUGGGGGUUAAAAAGCCUCCAUUACUAAAGGGACGAUAAGACCCUAUAAAACUUUACUAAUAAAUUAAAUUUAUUAAGUUGAUUUUUUUUUGUUUAAGUUUAGUUUGGCUGGGGCGGCAUCUAUAACGCAAUAAGAGGUUAUAACAAUAUAUUUGGGUGUAAAGUUCUUUUUUCUUAAAGAUAGACUAAGUUACUUUAGGGAUAACAGCACAAUUUCCUUGUAUAGACCUUAUAAAUAAGGAAGACUUGUGACCUCGAUGUUGAAUUGAGGGGCUCACCUUAAGCAGAAAUAAGGGGGAGAGGUCUGUUCGACCUUUAAUACCUCACGUGAUCUGAGUUCAG